CCUACGGGAGGCUGCAGUCGAGAAUCAUUCACAAUGGGGGAAACCCUGAUGGUGCGACGCCGCGUGGGGGAAUGAAGGUCUUCGGAUUGUAAACCCCUGUCAUGUGGGAGCAAAUUAAAAAGAUAGUACCACAAGAGGAAGAGACGGCUAACUCUGUGCCAGCAGCCGCGGUAAUACAGAGGUCUCAAGCGUUGUUCGGAAUCACUGGGCGUAAAGCGUGCGUAGGCUGUUUAGUAAGUCGUGUGUGAAAGGCGCGGGCUCAACCCGCGGACGGCACCUGAUACUGCGAGACUAGAGUAAGGGAGGGGGAACCGGAAUUCUCGGUGUAGCAGUGAAAUGCGUAGAUAUCGAGAGGAACACUCGUGGCGAAGGCGGGUUCCUGGACAUUAACUGACGCUGAGGCACGAAGGCCAGGGGAGCGAAAGGGAUUAGAUACCCUAGUAGUC
This 446-nucleotide ribosomal RNA is filed under the name uncultured bacterium. RNAcentral's name for it is "partial 16S ribosomal RNA". It matches the Rfam family "Bacterial small subunit ribosomal RNA", at positions 338 to 795 of the family's 1533-position model. The record is from RNAcentral.